GAUUACCGAGGGCCAAUGUGAGCUCAUCAUUCUCUCGGUCCACCUUAAACCUCCUAGCUUUAGAAUCUUUAAUGUUCUUCAUAAGACUUUUGGCCUUCUGACGUAUUGUCUCAUUGAAUAUCAACGUCCCAUCGUCUUGGCUCGGGGAGCCUCCAUGAGCGUAAUACCAAUUUUUCAAUCAUUCGGGUCAUUCAAUAGUUGCAGGUACGAUACCCU
RNAcentral lists this long non-coding RNA (216 nucleotides) under Setaria viridis. RNAcentral describes it as "long non-coding RNA (SVIR_LNC007709)". Lineage: Eukaryota; Viridiplantae; Streptophyta; Magnoliopsida; Poales; Poaceae. The record is from RNAcentral.